UGAGUAAGUCAGACAGCUGCGUGUACUUGUACACGAGGAAAGUCCGAGCUCCGCAGGGCGAGGGUGCUGGUUAAUACCCAGUGGAGGCAACUCUAAGGAAAGUGCAACAGAGAGAUACCGCCAAUCAGAGGCCGGAUGCGGCAUCUGGUUUGGUAAGGGUGAAAAGGCGAGGUAAGAGCU
Molecule: RNase P RNA, 180 nt
Filed under: Clostridiales bacterium
Lineage: Bacteria; Bacillati; Bacillota; Clostridia; Eubacteriales
Description: partial RNase P RNA component class A
Rfam family: Bacterial RNase P class A
About the family: Ribonuclease P (RNase P) is a ubiquitous endoribonuclease, found in archaea, bacteria and eukarya as well as chloroplasts and mitochondria. Its best characterised activity is the generation of mature 5'-ends of tRNAs by cleaving the 5'-leader elements of precursor-tRNAs.
Source: RNAcentral